RNAcentral lists this ribosomal RNA (506 nucleotides) under uncultured organism. RNAcentral's name for it is "SSU rRNA". It matches the Rfam family "Bacterial small subunit ribosomal RNA", at positions 10 to 509 of the family's 1533-position model. The record is from RNAcentral.
AGUUUGAUCCUGGCUCAGGAUGAACGCUAGCGGCAGGCUUAACACAUGCAAGUCGAGGGGCAGCGCGGGGUAGCAAUACUCUGGCGGCGACCGGCGAAAGGGUGAGUAACGCGUGAGCAACGUGCCCGUAUGUGGGGGAUAGUCGAUGGAAACGUCGCGUAAUACCCCGUAACACAUUACCCCGCAUGGGGUGAUGUUGAAAGAUUUGAUUGCAUACGGAUCGGCUCGCGUGCCAUUAGGUAGACGGCGGGGUAACGGCCCACCGUGCCGACGAUGGCUAGGGGUUCUGAGAGGAAGGUCCCCCACAUUGGAACUGAGACACGGUCCAGACUCCUACGGGAGGCAGCAGUGAGGAAUAUUGGACAAUGGCCGGAAGGCUGAUCCAGCCAUGCCGCGUGCGGGAAGAAUGCCCUAUGGGUUGUAAACCGCUUUUGCGGGGGAGCAAUAAGGGUCACGCGUGGCCCGAUGAGAGUACCCCGCGAAUAAGCAUCGGCUAACUCCGUGCC